UGGCCUUUAUGAUUAGGGCUGCACACGUCGUACAAUGCAACGUACAAAGGGACGCAAGUUCGCGAGGACAAGCAAAUCCCACAAAGCGUUGCUCAGUUCGGAUUGCAGGCUGCAACUCGCCUGCAUGAAGCUGGAAUCGCUAGUAAUCGCGGGUCAGCAUACCGCGGUGAAUGUGUUCCUGAGCCUUGUACACACCGCCCGUCAAGCCACGAAAGUUGGAAGGGCCCAAAGUCAGUGAGCUAACCCGCAAGGGAGGCAGCUGCCCAAGGCCAGUUCGAUGAUUGGGACUAAGUCGUAACAAGGUAGCCGUAGGGGAACCUGCGGCUGGAUCACCUCCUUU
This 340-nucleotide ribosomal RNA is filed under the name Planctomycetota bacterium. RNAcentral describes it as "bacterial SSU rRNA". It matches the Rfam family "Bacterial small subunit ribosomal RNA", at positions 1196 to 1533 of the family's 1533-position model. The record is from RNAcentral. Lineage: Bacteria; Pseudomonadati; Planctomycetota.